UCAACUUGGUUCAGCCCAUUGUUCUAAAAGGCUUAGCAGGGGAUGACUAAUGAGCAGGCUAUGACUUCUUGGAGACAAAGGUGAGAGUUGGGUGAAUCAAGUGACCACUAAAGGUGGAAAGUAGAACCCGAAUAAGAGCUGUAACAAAACAGGGAUUCUCCUGAGACAACUAAAGAUAUGAAGAAAGACUCCAGGAUGGAGGUCACAGAUAAGCAUGGAUAUAAUAUUUAUGUUACUGUGUCUUCCCAGGAUUUCGCACUGCAUGAGAGAACAUUCUUUUGACUUAUAUAUUUGGGGAUUUAGCAGAUGUCUAGACCUUUCAAAAGUAUAUUAGACUGAAGAAAAUGCAGCCCAACUGAAGUCACCAGAGGUACAUGGCAAUCAAAGAAUGUGACAGUUGGUGGUUAGAUUCUGUGACUGUUGGAGUCUAGAGAAAUACACCGAUUCCUAUGGAAGCAAACAACCAGAAGAAAAUUGAGCUCUUGUUUGCUAUUAUUAUAUUCCUAUGUCCAUUGAAAUAAAAAAAGGAGAAAAUCAGAAACCUAGUCUCUGGAUUACAAUUUCAAGUUAACUUCAGGAAAGGUUACUAGUUCCAAAUUUUAAAGGUAGCUAGAGGGAAAGAUAAGUGAGAAAAAUAAGUAUUAACACUUUGCUAGAAACAAAGUAGUUCAGAUUUAGUAAAGGAUUUUUCUUGUGUUGUGGACUCAGAAUCUUAUAUGUGUCUUUUCACAGAAAUGAGAUGUAUGGUCCUCAAAAGAAUUUCCUCUUCUUUUUAGAGUGUGAGAUUGAAACACUUCUCAUGGUUUGGGGGUUCAGCAGUUCACAGUAUAUAACUUUUUAAAUUCCUGUAUGUAUACAGAGAUUCAGAUCAGGCCUAAAUCCCCAACAUCCUGCCUACACUCAACUCCCACUGAAUGUAGAUUAUAUUCUUUAUAUUAAUAACACCUUUCCCAAUUAUGGUUUUCUUCCCAUGUUUUUUAAAUUAGGUGGUUGCUAUUUUCAUUAUGUUUUGAUUAAAUGAACUUUGCUUUGAACUAACAUAUUCUCUGAAUUCUAAAAGUGGGUAGAGAAAUGCUAGUUAUUGUAAUGUUUUAUACAAUGGCAAAAUCAUGAUUUUUCUAGUAAGAUAAAGGCAGGUAAUGAGGUGUUAUGGAAAAGGUGGUGAUUAGGAAUUUUAGGGAAAGUAGAGAGAGAAAAAGGAGAGGAUAGAAAGAGGGAGGGACCUUACCCCAUUUAUUGCUAGGCUGUUAUU
RNAcentral lists this long non-coding RNA (1252 nucleotides) under Sarcophilus harrisii (Tasmanian devil). RNAcentral describes it as "lncRNA (ENSSHAG00000025587.1)". The record is from RNAcentral. Lineage: Eukaryota; Metazoa; Chordata; Mammalia; Dasyuromorphia; Dasyuridae.